This 460-nucleotide ribosomal RNA is filed under the name uncultured bacterium. RNAcentral describes it as "partial 16S ribosomal RNA". It matches the Rfam family "Bacterial small subunit ribosomal RNA", at positions 338 to 795 of the family's 1533-position model. The record is from RNAcentral.
CCUACGGGUGGCAGCAGUGAGGAAUAUUGGUCAAUGGACGAGAGUCUGAACCAGCCAAGUAGCGUGAAGGAUGACUGCCCUAUGGGUUGUAAACUUCUUUUAUAUGGGAAUAAAACGUUCCACGUGUGGGAUUUUGUAUGUACCAUAUGAAUAAGGAUCGGCUAACUCCGUGCCAGCAGCCGCGGUAAUACGGAGGAUCCGAGCGUUAUCCGGAUUUAUUGGGUUUAAAGGGCGCGUAGGUGGAUUGUUAAGUCAGUUGUGAAAGUUUGCGGCUCAACCGUAUAAUUGCAGUUGAAACUGGCAGUCUUGAGUGCAGUAGAGGUGUGCGGAAUUCGUGGUGUAGCGGUGAAAUGCUUAGAUAUCACGAAGAACUCCGAUUGCGAAGGCAGUUCACUGGACUGCAACUGACACUGAGGCUCGAAAGUGUGGGUAUCAAACAGGAUUAGAUACCCUUGUAGUC